GAUGAACGCUGGCGGCGUGCCUAAUACAUGCCAGUCGAGCGAACAGAUGAGGAGCUUGCUCCUCUGACGUUAGCGGCGGACGGGUGAGUAACACGUGGAUAACCUACCUAUAAGACUGGGAUAACUUCGGGAAACCGGAGCUAAUACCGGAUAAUAUAUUGAACCGCAUGGUUCAAUAGUGAAAGACGGUUUUGCUGCCACUUAUAGAUGGAUCCGCGCCGCAUUAGCUAGUUGGUAAGGUAACGGCUUACCAAGGCAACGAUGCGUAGCCGACCUGAGAGGGUGAUCGGCCACACUGGAACUGAGACACGGUCCAGACUCCUACGGGAGGCAGCAGUAGGGAAUCUUCCGCAAUGGGCGAAAGCAUGACGGAGCAACGCCGCGUGAGUGAUGAAGGUCUUCGGAUCGUAAAACUCUGUUAUUAGGGAAGAACAAAUGUGUAAGUAACUAUGCACGUCUUGACGGUACCUAAUCAGAAAGCCACGGCUAACUACGUG
RNAcentral lists this ribosomal RNA (497 nucleotides) under uncultured bacterium. RNAcentral's name for it is "partial 16S ribosomal RNA". It matches the Rfam family "Bacterial small subunit ribosomal RNA", at positions 28 to 507 of the family's 1533-position model. The record is from RNAcentral.